UCCCGACGGGGGGCAGCAGUGGGGAAUAUUGCACAAUGGGGGAAACCCUGAUGCAGCGACGCCGCGUGAGUGAAGAAGUAUUUCGGUAUGUAAAGCUCUAUCAGCAGGGAAGAAAAAAGACGGUACCUGACUAAGAAGCCCCGGCUAACUACGUGCCAGCAGCCGCGGUAAUACGUAGGGGGCAAGCGUUAUCCGGAUUUACUGGGUGUAAAGGGCGAGUAGACGGCGUUGCAAGUCAGAUGUGAAAGGCUAGGGCCCAACCUUAGGAGAGCAUCUGAAACUGUAAUGCUAGAGUGCAGGAGAGG
RNAcentral lists this ribosomal RNA (305 nucleotides) under uncultured bacterium. RNAcentral describes it as "bacterial SSU rRNA". It matches the Rfam family "Bacterial small subunit ribosomal RNA", at positions 335 to 657 of the family's 1533-position model. The record is from RNAcentral.